GAGGCUUCCCUUGAGGGCCCUGGGUUGGUGGUUGCAUGUCGGGGUGCUGGUCUCUGUGCUUCACUCACCUGCUGCCUUAAAUUAAGGGAUGCGGGGAGCUGGAGCUGCAGGCUGAAUGGAAGCAGCCCAAAUGAAAGUCAGACUUAAAGAAUUAUAAGGAUACUUAAAAGCUCUGUAUAUUGGAGAGGAACCUUUUUUACAUGUGGGGUAGGGAUAUUUAUUGUAAAUAGGCUAGACUGCAUCACUAGUUCCUUUUCCAAUAUACCAUUUCUUCAACUGAAGUGUUUUAAACUUUCUCCAGCACUUCCAGUAUAAUUCUGCUUGACCUUUCUUCAGAUUCUUAAAGACAAUUACAAUUAAUAAUUUUCUUACACAUAGAUCAGUACUUUGCACUAAUAUAAAGCCCAGAUUAAUCAUUAACUGCUUGAUUAAUCACUUCCAGUUUCCCUGUAAAGUAGAUUAAAAUUAUGCCGUGUGUUUUGCAGAAGCUACCUGAUUUUCUUUUAUUUUCCAGGAUAUUGUUUACAGAUAUUUAAGUCAAUGUGUAGGCUUUUGCCUUUAUUUAAAGCUUCUAGGGAACAUGCAGAAACAUUUUCUGUUUCAGCAUGACAGUGGAAUCACCCCGCCAGAUCCGUACAUUAUGAAAACAGAAAAAAAAAAAAAAAAGAAACAAGGCAGAGAGAUACGCAGCAACAUUUUCCAUGCUUUUUAAAAUCAGUCACUGAAAUUUCGGAAAAAAAAACUGCAAUAUUUUGCUUCCCAUUCUGUUUCAUGCAAAGCAAAUGCAGCUGAAGACAUUAGUGUCCCCCCUAACGCUUUGCAACCACUGCUACAGCAGUCUGCUGACACAAAGGUCUCCCCAGCCUUUGCCUGGGUGAAGGCUGGCGACCAGUAGUCCAUGCAAAAGGUCGGAGGAUCCAAAGAGAAGCACACAGUGUGCCAUGGCCAGCUACAGAGCUCAGGAACGCUUAGCUUCCCAUCUCGUGCUUCUUUUUCUCAUAGACGUUGCUAUCUCAGGGAAAUUCCCCAGCUUUCCUUCUCCUCCCACAUUAAAUACAUCACUGUCAGUGACUCAAGUCAUGCUCUAGUAGAUUCAGGCUUUACACACUCAACUGCCCGCUGGCCUGUCAUUGAGCACCUACCAGCUGUUUGGCCGGGUCUGCCUAACAGCCAGGCUUUGCUCUCUGCAGCUCUUCCUCUUUCUUCCUUUACCCCAUUGGGCUUCCUCCAUUUUUCACUUUGUGGCCAGAAUCUGGGCUCGUUACUCUCUAGAAAGGGCAGCUCAGCACCCACCACCUUGGCAGGGCUUUUCCCACUGCCCAGAGGCCCCAGCUUUUCUCUUUGCACCAUUGUAAAAUAUGGUAAAAUCACAAGUCCAGGGAAAGUUUAUUUCUCUGGGAAACCCUAA
This 1408-nucleotide long non-coding RNA is filed under the name Numida meleagris (helmeted guineafowl). Its description in RNAcentral is "lncRNA (ENSNMEG00000005859.1)". The record is from RNAcentral. Lineage: Eukaryota; Metazoa; Chordata; Aves; Galliformes; Numididae.